CCGAUAGCGAACAAGUACUGUGAAGGAAAGAUGAAAAGAACUUUGAAAAGAGAGUUAAAAGUCCCUGAAACCGAUGAGUGGUAAGAGUUCGAGACGCGUCAAAAUCCUGAUCAUUCUUCGUUCACUCGGGGUUAUGGUUAGGACGUCUGGUCUCAUUCGGGUCGUCUAUCCUGGGAACGCGAGAGGCUCCGGCAUCUGCGUCCUUGAGGGCAGAUCGGCCAGGAUGUGAAUGGGCUGAGGAUGUAAACUGUUGCGGUCGUUUGGGUGGUAAGUGUCGGAGUCUCCGGACGAUGUCCUUGCCCUUAUUCGGACGUUGCAGGUAAAGUCUCGUAGGCCUAUGUCAGACAUAGCGGUCUUGAACUACCCGUCUUGAAACACGGACCAAGGAGUCUAACACGUGUGCGAGGCUUAGGGUGUCAAACCCACAAGCCACACUGAAAGGGAGAUGUGCCAACCCCUGAGGGUGCAGCACAGCCCGAUCCCGAUUUACUGGAAAAGGAUUUGAGGUAAAGUACACUUGUUGGGACCCGAAAGAUGGUGAACUAUGCCUGGAUAGGACGAAGCCGGGGGAAACUCUGGUGGAGGUCCGUUGCGGUGUUGACGUGCAAAUCGCUCGUCAAAGCUGGGUAUAGGGGCGAAAGACCCAUCGAACCAUCUAGUAGCUGGUUCACUCCGAAGUUUCCCUCAGGAUAGCUAGCACCAUGAAAGGAGUCA
RNAcentral lists this ribosomal RNA (714 nucleotides) under Candidatus Kaiserbacteria bacterium. RNAcentral's name for it is "partial 23S ribosomal RNA". It matches the Rfam family "Eukaryotic large subunit ribosomal RNA", at positions 334 to 1001 of the family's 3401-position model. Lineage: Bacteria; Candidatus Kaiseribacteriota. The record is from RNAcentral.